UGGGGAAUCUUGGACAAUGGGCGCAAGCCUGAUCCAGCCAUGCCGCGUGAGUGACGAAGGCCUUAGGGUUGUAAAACUCUUUCGCCGGGGAAGAUAAUGACGGUACCCGGAGAAGAAGCUCCGGCUAACUUCGUGCCAGCAGCCGCGGUAAUACGAAGGGAGCUAGCGUUGUUCGGAAUUACUGGGCGUAAAGGGCUCGUAGGCGGCCAACUAAGUCAGACGUGAAAUCCCUCGGCUUAACCGGGGAACUGCGUCUGAUACUGGAUGGCUUGAGGUUGGGAGAGGGAUGCGGAAUUCCAGGUGUAGCGGUGAAAUGCGUAGAUAUCUGGAGGAACACCGGUGGCGAAGGCGACAUCCUGGACCAAUUCUGACGCUGAGGAGCGAAAGCCAGGGGAGCAAACGGGAUUAGAUACCCACGUAGUCCCUGAGCGGGCUGGCAAGGCGCAU
RNAcentral lists this ribosomal RNA (447 nucleotides) under uncultured bacterium. Its description in RNAcentral is "bacterial SSU rRNA". It matches the Rfam family "Bacterial small subunit ribosomal RNA", at positions 355 to 825 of the family's 1533-position model. The record is from RNAcentral.